AAUCGAACUCGGAGAUAGCUGGUUCUCCCCGAAAUAGCUUUAGGGCUAGCGUUAUCUUAGAUUACCGGAGGUAAAGCACUGAAUGGGCUAGGGGGCGAUAAGCUUACUGAACCCUAUCAAACUCAGAAUGCCGGCUAAUUGAUGGAUAGCAGUCAGACAGUGUGAGAUAAGUUUCAUUGUCAAAAGGGAAACAGCCCAGACCCACAGCUAAGGUCCCUAAUGUAUGCUAAGUGGAAAACGAUGUGGAAUUGCGAAAACAACCAGGAUGUUGGCUUAGAAGCAGCCACUCAUUAAAAGAGUGCGUAAUAGCUCACUGGUCGAGUGACUCUGCGCGGAAAAUAUAACGGGGCUAAGCAUACAACCGAAGCUUGGGAUUGUCUAAAGACAGUGGUAGGGGAGCGUCGUGUAUGGGGUGAAGUCGCAUCGGAAGGAGCGGUGGACUGUACACGAGUGAGAAUGCCGGAAUGAGUAGCGAGAAUUAUGUGGGAAUCAUAAUGGCCGAAAAUCUAAGGUUUCUUGGGGAAGGUUCGUCCGCCCAAGGUAAGCCGGGAGCUAAGGCGAGGCCGCAAGGCGUAGUCGAUGCACAUACGGUAGAAAUUCCGUAGCCACCGAACUUUAAACCAGAAGGACACUUGCAGAUAGCGGAACCCAGCCGUUGGUUGAGCUGGGCGAAAGGGACUGAAAUUAGUAGGGAAGUCCGCGAUGCUGAAAGGCGAGAAAAGCUCUGAUGGAUACUAAGGCGCCCGUACCGCAAACCGACACAGGUAGAUGAGGAGAGAAUCCUAAGGCCAACGGGAGAAGGGUUGUUAAGGAACUCGGCAAAUUGACCCCGUAACUUCGGAAGAAGGGGAGCCCCGAAAGGGGCCGCAGUGAAUAGGCCCAAGCAACUGUUUACCAAAAACACAGGUUUAUGCUAAAUCGAAAGAUGACGUAUAUGAGCUGACGCCUGCCCGGUGCCGGAAGGUUAAGAGGAGAGCUUAGAGGCAACUCGAAGGUUUGAAUUGAAGCCCCGGUAAACGGCGGCCGUAACAAUAACGGUCCUAAGGUAGCGAAAUUCCUUGUCAGGUAAGUUCUGACCCGCACGAAUGGCGUAAUGAUUUGGGCACUGUCUCAACAGCCCGCCCGGCGAAAUUGUAGUACUGGUGAAGAUGCCAGUUACCCGCAACUAGACGGAAAGACCCCAUGGAGCUUUACUGCAGUUUAAUACUGGGAAUCGGUAAUUCAUGUACAGGAUAGGUGGGAGACUGAGAAGCAUGGCCGUCAGGUCGUGUGGAGUCACCGGUGGGAUACCACUCUUGGAUUGCUGGUUUCCUAACCUGCGGCCCUGAAUCGGGUCGGGGGACACUGUUAGACGGGCAGUUUGACUGGGGCGGUCGCCUCCAAAAGAGUAACGGAGGCGCUCAAAGGUUCGUUCAGCACGGACGGAAAUCGUGCAUUGAGUG
Molecule: ribosomal RNA, 1442 nt
Filed under: human gut metagenome
Description: bacterial LSU rRNA
Rfam family: Bacterial large subunit ribosomal RNA
Source: RNAcentral